GUGAGACUCAGAUCAGAAGAGUCAUUUACCGUUGACCGUGACUCACUGCUCUCAACUGAGCUGUGGACAAUGAGUUCCCAGGACUGGAAGGCGGGAGCAUAGGCUCUGUACCUCUAAGAAGCCCCAACAAGCUGAAUGGAAUUUUGACAGAUGGCAGAGGAAGCGGCAACACUUACCAGAAACUGGACUCGAACCAUCCUAUUGUUAAGAGUAUGAAGAUACUACAACUGACACCAGGCAACAUGGUUGACCAACAAUGUUAUGACCUCAUGAGCUUUCAAAGAUUGGAAGAAGCAUUAAGAGUUCCCUUAAGCCAGUACCAGCAGUAGCCAAGUCCAGUGACAAGGCAGCCCUGAAGAGUGGCCCACUUAAUCCAGUCCAUAUGAGAACCUGCAGCCAAGCCACUCUGUCCUGCAAACGAGGGAGUGACCGGCCCUGUGACUGUGCCACACCCAGAAGUGAAUUUGGUAGAGGAAAUGAUUUGUAGCAACCACUGUGAGUCCACUUUCUCCAGGGACCAAGGUAGUCAUCAGUCAGUCAGUCAGUCAGUCAGUCAGUAUCCAUUUAUUAAGCACCUAUUACAUCCCAGGCGCUAGGGAUAUAAAAAGAGGCAAAAGAUGUUCCUAAAACUGAAGGCUCUCACAAACUAAUGAUAAUGAAGGUAGUAUAGGAGAAUGUGC
Molecule: long non-coding RNA, 680 nt
Filed under: Vombatus ursinus (common wombat)
Lineage: Eukaryota; Metazoa; Chordata; Mammalia; Diprotodontia; Vombatidae
Description: lncRNA (ENSVURG00010007999.1)
Source: RNAcentral